GACGAACGCUGGCGGCGUGCUUAACACAUGCAAGUCGAACGGUGAAGCGCCUUCCUUUUUGGUGGGUGUGGUUGCGUGGCGGACGGGUGCGUAACACGUGAGUACCCUGCACUUUUCUUUUGGAUAACCGCAUGAAAGCGUGUCUAAUACAGGAUCUUCUGGGUCUGUCGCAUGUUGGGUCUGUGUCAGAUAUUGUUUCGGUGGGGGAUGCGCUUGGGGGUUAUCGGCUUGUAGGUGGGGUGAUGGCCUACCAAGGCGUUGACGGGUAGCCGGCCUGACAGGGUGUGCGGCAACAUCGGGACUCAGAUAGGGCGCAGACUCCGACGGGAGGCAGCAGUGGGGAAAAUUGUACAAUGGGCGCAAGGCGGAUGGAGCGACGCCGUGUGGGGGAUGACGGCCUUCGGGCUGUAAACCGGUUUCGCCUGGGACGAAGCGGGAGUGACGGUAGCUGGAAAAGAAGCACCGGCUAACUACGUG
RNAcentral lists this ribosomal RNA (477 nucleotides) under uncultured bacterium. Its description in RNAcentral is "partial 16S ribosomal RNA". It matches the Rfam family "Bacterial small subunit ribosomal RNA", at positions 28 to 507 of the family's 1533-position model. The record is from RNAcentral.